RNAcentral lists this ribosomal RNA (491 nucleotides) under uncultured bacterium. RNAcentral's name for it is "partial 16S ribosomal RNA". It matches the Rfam family "Bacterial small subunit ribosomal RNA", at positions 29 to 507 of the family's 1533-position model. The record is from RNAcentral.
AGUGAACGCUGGCGGUAGGCCUAACACAUGCAAGUCGAACGGCAGCACAGUAAGAGCUUGCUCGUACGGGUGGCGAGUGGCGGACGGGUGAGGAAUACAUCGGAAUCUACUUUUUCGUGGGUAUAACGUAGGGAAACUUACUCUAAUACCGCAUACGACCUACGUGUGAAAUCAUGUGAGCUUCGGGCCUUGCGCGAUUUAAUUAGCCGAUGUCGGAUUAGCUAGUUGGCGGGGUAAAGGCCCACCAAGGCGACCAUCCGUAGAUGGGCUGAGAGGAUGAUCAGCGGCACUGGAACUGGGACACGGUCCAGACUCCUACGAGAGGCAGCAGUGGGGAAUAGUAGACAAUGGGCGCGAGCCUGAUCCAGCCAUACCGAGUGGGUGAAGAAGGCCUUCGGGUUGUAAAGCCGUUUUGUUGGGAAAGAAAAGCAGCAGGUUAAUACCCCGCUGUUCUGACGGUACCCAAAGAAUAAGCACCGGCUAACUUCGUG